This 378-nucleotide unclassified non-coding RNA is filed under the name uncultured Oceanospirillales bacterium. RNAcentral's name for it is "contains 16S-23S intergenic spacer region". The record is from RNAcentral. Lineage: Bacteria; Pseudomonadati; Pseudomonadota; Gammaproteobacteria; Oceanospirillales.
UCCGGUUUGUCACCGGCAGUCUCCUUAAAGUUCCCACCAUGACGUGCUGGCAAAUAAGGACAAGGGUUGCGCUCGUUACGGGACUUAACCCAACAUCUCACGACACGAGCUGACGACAGCCAUGCAGCACCUGUCACCCAGUUCCCGAAGGCACUCCCCCAUCUCUGGGGGAUUCUGGGGAUGUCAAGACCUGGUAAGGUUCUUCGCGUUGCGUCGAAUUAAACCACAUGCUCCACCGCUUGUGCGGGCCCCCGUCAAUUCAUUUGAGUUUUAAUCUUGCGACCGUACUCCCCAGGCGGUCAACUUACCGCGUUUGCUGCGCCACUAAGGAGACAAGCUCCCCAACGGCUAGUUGACAUCGUUUACCGCGUGGACUAC